AGCCAAUCAGGGGAAGGAAAAACGGAUCGACGCGUCUGCGUUGCUGGGUAGAUAUAAAACAAAAACAACAACGUUAGUGUCUGUCGGAGUUUGAAGCUUGGACACAACAGACGGUAUCAUUUGAAAUUCGCACGCUGUUCUGCUGCACAAUCUCUUUUCUAUUUUAGAACAUGGCAACUGACUGCGAGGCCUGGCUGAACGCAAACCCCGUCGAGGCUGAGGACCUGAGUGACUCCUUUUUAUCUGGAGACGAAGACACUGGAAGAUUGGCCAUCUCCAACAAAAACAUCAACAAUGAGAUCAAUGGCAACUGGUUGACCACGUCUAGCAACAGCAUCCAUGAAGCAC
This is a long non-coding RNA of Micropterus salmoides (largemouth bass), 348 nucleotides long. RefSeq lists it as uncharacterized. The transcript is spliced from 3 exons. The record is from RefSeq and is a predicted model, not a curated record. Lineage: Eukaryota; Metazoa; Chordata; Actinopteri; Centrarchiformes; Centrarchidae.